Molecule: ribosomal RNA, 150 nt
Filed under: Cristigera pleuronemoides
Lineage: Eukaryota; Ciliophora; Oligohymenophorea; Pleuronematida; Cyclidiidae
Description: 5.8S ribosomal RNA
Rfam family: 5.8S ribosomal RNA
About the family: 5.8S ribosomal RNA (5.8S rRNA) is a component of the large subunit of the eukaryotic ribosome. It is transcribed by RNA polymerase I as part of the 45S precursor that also contains 18S and 28S rRNA. Functionally, it is thought that 5.8S rRNA may be involved in ribosome translocation.
Source: RNAcentral
AAAAAUACUUAACGACGGAUAUCUUGGUUCCCAUAUCGAUGAAGAACGCAGCGAAAUGCGAUAGGCAAAGCGAAUUGCAGAAUUCCACGAGUCUUCAGAUCUUUGAACGCAAUCGGCCCCGGCUUAUCCCCGGGAUGUUUGUCUCAGUGU